This 520-nucleotide ribosomal RNA is filed under the name uncultured Glomus. Its description in RNAcentral is "SSU rRNA". It matches the Rfam family "Eukaryotic small subunit ribosomal RNA", at positions 569 to 1091 of the family's 1831-position model. The record is from RNAcentral. Lineage: Eukaryota; Fungi; Glomeromycota; Glomeromycetes; Glomerales; Glomeraceae.
AGCAGCCGCGGUAAUUCCAGCUCCAAUAGCGUAUAUUAAAGUUGCUGCAGUUAAAAAGCUCGUAGUUGAAUUUCGGGACCAUCAUGUCGGUCGUGCCUCGGUACGUACUGGCAUUGUUGGUUUCUCCCUUCUGACGAACCAUGAUGUCAUUUAUUUGGUGUUGUGGGGAAUCAGGACUGUUACCUUGAAAAAAUUAGAGUGUUUAAAGCAGGCUCACGCUUGAAUACAUUAGCAUGGAAUAAUGAAAUAGGACGUUUGAUUCUAUUUUGUUGGUUUCUAGGGUCGACGUAAUGAUUAAUAGGGAUAGUUGGGGGCAUUAGUAUUCAAUUGUCAGAGGUGAAAUUCUUGGAUUUAUUGAAGACUAACUACUGCGAAAGCAUUUGCCAAGGGUGUUUUCAUUAAUCAAGAACGAAAGUUAGGGGAUCGAAGACGAUCAGAUACCGUCGUAGUCUUAACCAUAAACUAUGCCGACUAGGGAUCGGAUGAUGUUAAUUUUUUAAUGACUCAUUCGGCGCCUUAA